Molecule: long non-coding RNA, 646 nt
Organism: Parus major (Great Tit)
Lineage: Eukaryota; Metazoa; Chordata; Aves; Passeriformes; Paridae
Exons: 4
Source: RefSeq, a predicted model, not a curated record
AGUCACCCUGCUGCUGCAUGUGGAUCAGAUUCAGACCAGGGCAGUGGGAUGCAACAAGCUGAAUUUCUUGACUGACCUUCAGCCUUCCCCCUCCGUGGCAAUAUACAGCUUUCUGUUCUGCUAAGUGAAAGUCAGAAACAGGGGCCAACUGAAAAUACUAAAUCUCAGCAUGACUAUAUCCUGCAGUGGAAAAUUACUACCAUUCAGAAAUGUGCCUUGCUGCAUUACGGUUGUAUAUUUGAAGACUCAAAGCUCUAUCUGCAGCACAAAGGCAGGCUCAACAAAUGACUUAGCAUCUUUGAUCCUUUAUCACAACACUUUAUGGCAGCAUUUCUACUUGGUACAAGGAGGAUCAGAAUCACUCCAUGAAUGAAGGAAUAAAUGAAUGUUUUUGCAGCACCAGAUGACAAAAUUUGCAAUGACCUAUCUUUUUAUCAAAAUGAUUGUAUGGGAAGAUACUUAAAAUGAGACAUUAUUUUUAGACCGAAUUCAGAGAGACACACUCCUUGUCAGCUCUGUGUCUAAGAUACAGAAGCUUGCUGAGGCUUGUUCUUCCAACCUGCUGGUGUACAUUAGAGCAGAAAUCCAUAACAUGGCCAUGUUCAUCCAAGCACAGGAAGAAACUAAAUUAAAUGUUAAAAAACAA